GUAGGUGAACCUGCGGAAGGAUCAUUAACUCAAUAUAUGCAUGUCACUUCGGUGGCGUGUAUCUAUUAUCAAACCAAAAUUAACAAUCCGUGAAUUUUAAAAACAAAAAUGAAUGAGUUUCGCGUGUCAUUACUUCGUUUGAAUGCACGUACUCAGCCAAUACCAAUUCCACUUUAUUUUAACCAUAUUAACCCAUUACCGUAACGUUUGCUCGUCAAGCGUACUAAAACAAGCGUGUGUUCAUUACUUA
RNAcentral lists this unclassified non-coding RNA (250 nucleotides) under plant metagenome. RNAcentral's name for it is "partial contains small subunit ribosomal RNA, internal transcribed spacer 1, and 5.8S ribosomal RNA". The record is from RNAcentral.